This is a long non-coding RNA of Drosophila montana, 334 nucleotides long. RefSeq lists it as uncharacterized. The transcript is spliced from 3 exons. The record is from RefSeq and is a predicted model, not a curated record. NCBI's taxonomy places the organism in Eukaryota, Metazoa, Arthropoda, Insecta, Diptera, Drosophilidae.
AUUUGUAGUUUCUUUAAUCGAAAUCUAUUCGCGAGUGCAUGUUACUACUUAGCUGGAAAAUACAUUUUGUUUAGAGACAACAGGACUUUGCGUUUGUGACUCAUUGCAUCAUUCUUUGACAUUAUUGUAUACAUACCAAGGAACGUCCGUAUGAAUGCGAUGUGUGCCUUAAUAACGCGAAAGCUAGUUGACUUAGACGUGCAGACGCAGAAACCUACUAAAAAUUAUAUUGAUUGAUCUGUUGCAAUCGACUUAGCAUUGGGAUGUUUCGGAUGAGUGAUAUUUUGUUGCUUACCGUCGUCCGGUUCACUUCAAACGAAGGUUAAAGCCGAAU